UACGUAGGGGGCAAGCGUUGUCCGGAUUUAUUGGGCGUAAAGAGCGUGUAGGCGGCUUUACAGGUCCGUUGUGAAAACUCGAGGCUCAACCUCGAGACGCCGGUGGAAACUGUAAGGCUAGAGUCCGGAAGAGGAGAGUGGAAUUCCUGGUGUAGCGGUGAAAUGCGCAGAUAUCAGGAGGAACACCCGUGGCGAAAGCGGCUCUCUGGGACGGUACUGACGCUGAGACGCGAAAGCGUGGGGAGCAAACAGG
This 253-nucleotide ribosomal RNA is filed under the name uncultured bacterium. Its description in RNAcentral is "partial 16S ribosomal RNA". It matches the Rfam family "Bacterial small subunit ribosomal RNA", at positions 524 to 776 of the family's 1533-position model. The record is from RNAcentral.